GAUGAACGCUGGCGGCGUGCUUAACACAUGCAAGUCGAGCGAAGCACAUUUGAAGUUUUCGGACAGAUUAUGUGACUGAGCGGCGGACGGGUGAGUAACGCGUGGGUAACCUGCCUCACACAGGGGAAUAACAGUUAGAAAUGACUGCUAAUGCCGCAUAAGCGCACGGGGCCGCAUGGCUCUGUGUGAAAAACUCCGGUGGUGUGAGAUGGACCCGCGUCUGAUUAGCUUGUUGGUGAGGUAACGGCCCACCAAGGCGACGAUCAGUAGCCGACUUGAGAGAGUGAUCGGCCACAUUGGGACUGAGACACGGCCCAGACUCC
Molecule: ribosomal RNA, 323 nt
Filed under: uncultured Lachnospiraceae bacterium
Lineage: Bacteria; Bacillati; Bacillota; Clostridia; Lachnospirales; Lachnospiraceae
Description: bacterial SSU rRNA
Rfam family: Bacterial small subunit ribosomal RNA
Source: RNAcentral